UAACAUUGUUGAUAUCACAUACAAUAUUUUAAGUAAUUUUGAUUUGAAAAACUUCUAACCAAAUACCAUUAAACUCUAUCUAACGGCGAAUAUGCGAGGCCACCAUCUCCAGCAAAUCAAGAGCAAAAAUAACCAAGGAGAGCAACACCGAACAACAAUGGACAAAAAAAUGACCAACCUGAUCUUGAUGGACCCACCAACCUCUAUUAGGCCAUACACAGGACAAAUUCAGCAUUUCUCUCAUAGAAAGUACAGGAAUAUCCUGAAGUCCUUUGUAUAAAUCAUUUCCAUGAAUAUAAUUUGAUCUUAUUCACCAAUUGCUCAACAAUCGUUGUCUUAUCAGAGAAGAUAUAUUAUAUAUGGNNNNNNNNNNCCGAGCUAAAGUCAAAGUAGCUCCCUCACACAUGUCACCAAAUAUAACAAACAACCCACCUAGAUCACACGACAAUACUAACUCCCACCCUACCCACCUAAAGCCCUAUAUUAGACCUGAAGGACAAAGUAACAAAUAACAAACAAAUGAUUAGCGACUCCAUAGACUCACCACAUAACACAAAAGAAAUAGCGUUAGAAUCUCUGCCAAACCUUUACUAAGUGUUGAACAUCCUCCUCCAGACGAUCUCUACCAACCUAAAGAUCUUCCCAUAACACCAUAUCGGCCAAACUAACAGUGUACACUCUUUUUCUUUUUGUAUCAUGUUUCUAAACCCAUUUAUCCUCUGCCCUAGAUAUAGAGAUUCCAUUAAGGAAUGUGACCUUAUACGAAAUCCAAUCUAGACAAACAUACCUCUCCUCCAUUUAAGCUCCCAAAUCCAUUCAUUCUCAACCCAAUGACCCAUAUUACCAAACCCUCGAGUCAAAUUGGCCUAUGAAAUCUCGAAGAGAACAAACUCCAUCCACGAAUUAUCUCAUAAAUAAGUCAUUACAAGAAAACAAGUUUUUG
RNAcentral lists this long non-coding RNA (943 nucleotides) under Cicer arietinum (chickpea). Its description in RNAcentral is "long non-coding RNA (CARI_LNC001111)". The record is from RNAcentral. Lineage: Eukaryota; Viridiplantae; Streptophyta; Magnoliopsida; Fabales; Fabaceae.